GAUGAACGCUGGCGGCGUGCCUAAUACAUGCAAGUCGAGCGAACAGAUAAGGAGCUUGCUCCUUUGACGUUAGCGGCGGACGGGUGAGUAACACGUGGGUAACCUACCUAUAAGACUGGGAUAACUUCGGGAAACCGGAGCUAAUACCGGAUAAUAUUUCGAACCGCAUGGUUCGAUAGUGAAAGAUGGUUUUGCUAUCACUUAUAGAUGGACCCGCGCCGUAUUAGCUAGUUGGUAAGGUAACGGCUUACCAAGGCGACGAUACGUAGCCGACCUGAGAGGGUGAUCGGCCACACUGGGACUGAGACACGGUCCAGACUCCUACGGGAGGCAGCAGUAGGGAAUCUUCCGCAAUUGGCGAAAGCCUGACGGAGCAACGCCGCGUGAGUGAUGAAGGUCUUCGGAUCGUAAAACUCUGUUAUUAGGGAAGAACAUACGUGUAAGUAACUGUGCACGUCUUGACGGUACCUAAUCAGAAAGCCACGGCUAACUACGUG
RNAcentral lists this ribosomal RNA (497 nucleotides) under uncultured bacterium. Its description in RNAcentral is "partial 16S ribosomal RNA". It matches the Rfam family "Bacterial small subunit ribosomal RNA", at positions 28 to 507 of the family's 1533-position model. The record is from RNAcentral.